This is a non-coding RNA of Pelobates cultripes (western spadefoot toad), 222 nucleotides long. The record is from the annotation of a GenBank genome assembly. NCBI's taxonomy places the organism in Eukaryota, Metazoa, Chordata, Amphibia, Anura, Pelobatidae.
GCUAACGGUUGGUCUCUCUGUCUGGAGUACAAAAGUACAUACUUUACAUGAACAGAGCAUUUUAAAGUGUAUUGGGCAAGGUAUAUUGCAGGGCCCAUAGUCCUGAGGCAAGAGGCUGGCCAGCAUGCCCCUCCAAGAACCAGUGACGAUGUUACUUUCAUCACAGCAUUUAUUCAAAUCUAUUCCUGGAACCAAAAUCCUCAGGAGAUUGGCAUCCAAUCC